CCGGCGACCGGCGCACGGGUGAGUAACACGUAUGCAACCUGCCCUCUUCAGGGGGACAACCUUCCGGAAAGGGAGGCUAAUCCCGCGUAUAUCGGUUUCGGGCAUCCGAGAUCGAGGAAAGAUUCAUCGGAAGAGGAUGGGCAUGCGGCGCAUUAGCUAGACGGCGGGGUAACGGCCCACCGUGGCGACGAUGCGUAGGGGUUCUGAGAGGAAGGUCCCCCACACUGGUACUGAGACACGGACCAGACUCCUACGGAAGGCAGCAG
RNAcentral lists this ribosomal RNA (266 nucleotides) under uncultured bacterium. RNAcentral describes it as "partial 16S ribosomal RNA". It matches the Rfam family "Bacterial small subunit ribosomal RNA", at positions 88 to 354 of the family's 1533-position model. The record is from RNAcentral.